RNAcentral lists this ribosomal RNA (582 nucleotides) under Gigantactis vanhoeffeni. Its description in RNAcentral is "partial small subunit ribosomal RNA". It matches the Rfam family "Bacterial small subunit ribosomal RNA", at positions 513 to 1384 of the family's 1533-position model. Lineage: Eukaryota; Metazoa; Chordata; Actinopteri; Lophiiformes; Gigantactinidae. The record is from RNAcentral.
AACCGCGGUUAUACGAGAGGCCCGAGUUGAUAUGCAUCGGCGUAAAGGGUGGUUAUGAUUUUAAUCAAAUAAAGUUAAACGCCUUCAAGGUUGUGCAACACACCCGAAGGUGAGGAAACUCAACUACGAAAGUGACUUUACAAAAUCUGAUCCCACGAAAGCUAGGGCACAAACUGGGAUUAGAUACCCCACUAUGCCUAGCCGUAAACCACGGUAAUGAAUAACCCACAUAACCCGCCCGGGAACUACAGGCGCAAGCUUGAAACCCAAAGGACUUGGCGGUGCUUAAGAUCCACCUAGAGGAGCCUGUUCUGGAACCGAUGACCCCCGUUCAACCUCACCCUUUCUUGUCACCACCGCCUAUAUACCGCCGUCGUCAGCUUACCCUGUGAAGGCCUUGCAGUAAGCGAAAUUGGCAUACCCCAAAACGUCAGGUCGAGGUGUAGCGAAUGAAAGGGGAAGAAAUGGGCUACAUUCCCUGACGAAGUGCAUACGAACGACACACUGAAACGUGUUUCCGAAGGAGGAUUUAGCAGUAAGUACAAAAUAGAGCGUUGUACUGAAGCCGGCUCUAAAGCGCGC